Alligator sinensis (Chinese alligator) is the source of this 213-nucleotide long non-coding RNA. RefSeq lists it as uncharacterized. NCBI's taxonomy places the organism in Eukaryota, Metazoa, Chordata, Crocodylia, Alligatoridae. The transcript is spliced from 3 exons. The record is from RefSeq and is a predicted model, not a curated record.
CACCAGCAGAGGAGAAACAUCUCUCUGCUGAGCUCUGCCAGGAACACUGCAGAGGACAUGAACUGGCUCCGAUUCUAGGAACAUCUGCUGAACAUAGCUUCCCUUUAAUUUGUUUCCAUCAAGGCAUGGAAGGAGAGCAUAUGGAAGCGGGCAGCAGCUUGAGGAAGGAGGUCACACAUCACACCUGCUGACAUAGUUAAAGGCUGCUAUCAA